AUUUCAAACUGUUCUAUCGCCCCGGUGAAAACCGGGGAGGAAAGUCCGGGCAACACAGAGCGCCAUACCUUGUGAAUAGCAGGGGUGAGGCAAAAGAAAUUUUGCUUCAACAGAAAGUGCCGCAGAAAAAAGUAGCCCUGAUAUGCGCAAGCAACAUCAGGGUGAUAGUGAAAACGUGAGGUAAGAGCUCACGCGCUCCGCCAGCAAUGACGGAAUGGGGUAAACCUUAUGGGUUGCAAGGUCAAAUAAGUUCCGGUAAAGAAAACGGCUCGUUAAUCCGCCUCAGGUGGGCCGGAACGGGUAGACCGCAAAAGAUAAAUGAUAGAAGUCAUGGCGUUAACCGUCAUGAUACAAAACCCGGCUUAUAGGUUUGUUAUGAUA
RNAcentral lists this RNase P RNA (381 nucleotides) under Bacteroidia bacterium. RNAcentral's name for it is "RNase P RNA component class A". It matches the Rfam family "Bacterial RNase P class A". From Rfam's summary of the family: Ribonuclease P (RNase P) is a ubiquitous endoribonuclease, found in archaea, bacteria and eukarya as well as chloroplasts and mitochondria. Its best characterised activity is the generation of mature 5'-ends of tRNAs by cleaving the 5'-leader elements of precursor-tRNAs. Lineage: Bacteria; Pseudomonadati; Bacteroidota; Bacteroidia. The record is from RNAcentral.